CSCARCGACGCCGCKYGAGUGAUGAAGGCUUUCCGGGUCGUAAARMUCUGUCAAGUGGGARGAACCUGCAGUAUGCSAAUACCAUAUAGCACUGACGGUACCACUGAAGGRAGCACCGGCUAACUCCGUGCCAGCAGCCGCGGUAAUACGGGGGGUGCAAGCGUUAUUCGGAAUCAUUGGGCGUAAAGAGCACGUAGGCGGCCUGGUAAGUCAGAUGUGAAVGCCVGGGGCUUAACCCCGGAAGUGCAUUUGAUACUGCCAGGCUUGAGUAUGGGAGAGGGAAGUGGAAUUCCUGGUGUAGAGGUGAAAUUCGUAGAUAUCAGGAGGAACACCGGUGGCGAAGGCGACUUCCUGGACCAAYACUGACGCUARRUGCGAAGGCGUGGGUAGCAACAGGA
This 398-nucleotide ribosomal RNA is filed under the name Desulfosarcina sp. CME1. Its description in RNAcentral is "partial 16S ribosomal RNA". It matches the Rfam family "Bacterial small subunit ribosomal RNA", at positions 387 to 777 of the family's 1533-position model. The record is from RNAcentral. Lineage: Bacteria; Pseudomonadati; Thermodesulfobacteriota; Desulfobacteria; Desulfobacterales; Desulfosarcinaceae.